GUCUCUUUGUAUUUAUUAAAUAAAGAGUUGGGCCUGCUCAGUGAUGUAAUUUUUAACAGCUGCGGUAUUUUAACUGUACUAAGGUAGCAUAAUAAUUUGCCUUAUAAAUUGAGGCUAGAAUGAAUGGUUUGACGAAGGUUUAUCUGUCUCUAUUUUGUUUUUUAGAAGUUAAUUUUUUAGUGAAAAAGCUAAAAUAUUUUAAAGGGACGAGAAGACCCUAUUGAGCUUAAAUUUACUAGUAUUAUAUUUAAUAGUAUUUAAUAAAUUUUAAUUGGGGUGAUUAAGGAAUAAAAUUAUAUAUUAAAUAAUAACUUCCUUAAAUUAUGUAAUACUGUUAGGUUAAGUAACCAAUAAUAUUGCUUAUAAUAAAGUUACCAUAGGGAUAACAGCGUAAUUUAUUUAGAGAGUUCCUAUUAAAAAAUAAGAUUGCGACCUCGAUGUUGGAUUAAAGUAACCUUAAGGUGCAGAAGCUUUAAUAUGGUAAAUCUGUUCGAUUUUUAAAACUUU
RNAcentral lists this ribosomal RNA (507 nucleotides) under Acanthosepion pharaonis. Its description in RNAcentral is "Sepia pharaonis partial 16S ribosomal RNA". It matches the Rfam family "Bacterial large subunit ribosomal RNA", at positions 1816 to 2597 of the family's 2925-position model. The record is from RNAcentral. Lineage: Eukaryota; Metazoa; Mollusca; Cephalopoda; Sepiida; Sepiidae.